CCUACGGGAGGCAGCAGUGGGGAAUAUUGCACAAUGGGGGAAACCCUGAUGCAGCGACGCCGCGUGAGUGAAGAAGUAUCUCGGUAUGUAAAGCUCUAUCAGCAGGGAAGAAAAAAGACGGUACCUUACUAAGAAGCCCCUGCGAACUACGUGCCAGCAGCCGCGGUUAUACGUAGGGGGCAAGCGUUAUCCGGAGUUACUGGGUGGAAAGGGAGCUUAUGGGGAGGGGUAAGUCGGAAGGGAAAGGGAGGGGCUGAACCCCUGAACGGCUUUGGAAACUGGCAGGCUAGAGUGCUGGAGAGGUAAGGGGAAUUCGUAGGGUAGCGGGGAAAUGCGUAGAUAUUAGGAGGAACCCCAGUGGCGAAGGCGGCUUACUGGACAGUAACUGACGUUGAGGCUCGAAAGCGUGGGGAGCAAACAGGAUUAGAUACCCUUGUAGUC
Molecule: ribosomal RNA, 441 nt
Filed under: uncultured bacterium
Lineage: Bacteria
Description: partial 16S ribosomal RNA
Rfam family: Bacterial small subunit ribosomal RNA
Source: RNAcentral